This 206-nucleotide transfer-messenger RNA is filed under the name Anaplasma phagocytophilum str. HZ. RNAcentral describes it as "transfer-messenger RNA Anapl_phago_HZ". It matches the Rfam family "Alphaproteobacteria transfer-messenger RNA", at positions 148 to 355 of the family's 355-position model. From Rfam's summary of the family: Bacterial tmRNA, also known as 10Sa RNA or SsrA, is named for its dual tRNA and mRNA-like properties. Its role is to liberate the mRNA from a stalled ribosome. To accomplish this part of the tmRNA is used as a reading frame that ends in a translation stop signal. The record is from RNAcentral. Lineage: Bacteria; Pseudomonadati; Pseudomonadota; Alphaproteobacteria; Rickettsiales; Anaplasmataceae. RNAcentral also lists the same sequence under 2 other names.
GGGGAUGAGACAGGUUAGACAGGCGUAGUAAAGAAGCUGGCUGUUGCUCGGUGGGAAUUCCAGCCGUAUAAUUGGGUCAUAUUUAUAAGUGCAAACGAUGAUUUCGUUGCCGCUAAUGACAACGUGGAAACAGCUUUCGUAGCUGCAGCCUAGUGUGCCUUUAGCGCGGUCUCGGAGGCUUACCGGGCAACAGAAAAGCCUCCAUU